Molecule: long non-coding RNA, 918 nt
Filed under: Homo sapiens (human)
Lineage: Eukaryota; Metazoa; Chordata; Mammalia; Primates; Hominidae
Description: non-protein coding RORA-AS1:1
Source: RNAcentral
GCGGGGCCUUGCGUCUUGACGGCUGCUCCCCUCCUUUCCUCCCGCCACAAGCGCUCGCUGUGGUUCUGGCAGCGAAGUGCGAGACUGGGCUCGCCAGGCGGAAGUGGUUGGAGACUGCGUGUUUUCCUAGAAAGUCCUCGACCUUCGUCGGGGAGAGGAGGGGAGUGAUAAAUUGGAAGGCGGACAAGCGACAAGUGCGGUACUGGAAAGACCCAAACAUACUUGGUUGUGACCUCAGGACUCAAUAAAAUAAACAGCUGGAAAUAAGCAGACUAGUGUAAGAGUGAAUUGAAAAGAAAACCCAAGGUCACAUCUCCCAAGAAGCAGUAAUGUUCCAGCAAUAAGAAAAGGACAGUUUUUUGUCUUUUGCAUGGUGAGCCUUAUAUGAAUUACAUCAAUUUUGUCACCAAUAUCCAUCAUCAGAACAUUUUGAUUCUACAUAACACAUUGCAAAUGGUCACAACAAUCAAGACUAUAUCCAUAGAUGUCCCAGAAAUAAUAUCUGACUAUACAGAGCAGCAUUACCAAGCCACCAAGAAGUCUGCCUAGUAAUGACAAUGAUAACAACAGCUAACACUUAAACAAAACCUUUUCCAUCAGCAAAGCAUUUUAGAACCUCAAGCUACACUGUUCCCACCUGCAACUGUCUAAGGUAUUGGAGGUCAAGGACAGUCCAAGGCCAAGUCAAGGACCAUCAGGACACAGAGGAGUAACUUCUGAGGCAGCCCCCGGUGGUAACAUAAAAGCUUAAUAUGCAUCAGACAAGUGCCUUCGCUGUGAGAUGUUGGGGAACCAAGCCCAGUGGGGUGGCUGGCGUCAGCUCAGUGUUCCAGAAAAGCCAAACUGUUCACCACGACUUGCCCUGAUUUUGCCUUCACUGCUAUUCAAAGAGGCCUGAAGCAGUUACUGAAAGCAAUU